CUGUGACGUCACGAGAAGGAAAGAGGAAAGGGAGAGGGUGCGAGGCAUCAUGGGAAAUGAAGUCCAAACCCAGACAGAGAGGUGGAUCAACUGGCGCUGAAGACUCAAGUUCCCAGCAUCCACCUGUGAACAGAGGGUCAUGGAAUAUCCUGGGAAAGAGCUAAAGUCGUUUUUCCCUGAGAGGAGGAGGAGGAGCUGCUGAUCCGGGUCGUGAUGGAGGAGGAGACGCCGGAAAACACGACUCCCUCAGCGGGGGGAGACGAGGGGGGUGGGCGGCCCUAGAACCCGCGGGUCCCCGGGGAGCCUGACUUUAAUCAGACCGUCGUUAAUGACAAUGGCAUCUCCAUGGAAACGAAGCGUCACGACACAAGGGUGUGUGUGUGUGUGUGUGUGUCACAGGUGGGUAUAAAAUAGGCGGUGGACUGUGGACCCUCAGACCAGAGCCGGACUGUCCACCAUCCACGCGAGUCUUUCUCUGCUGCUGCUGCGCGAGGCCACGCUGCACCGACAACAGGAGGACACACUCUCACUGUGAGAACACUCAGUGAGGUCACACCAUCUCUGUGAGGACACACUCUCACUGUGAGGACACACAGUGAGGACACACCAUC
Molecule: long non-coding RNA, 611 nt
Organism: Solea senegalensis (Senegalese sole)
Lineage: Eukaryota; Metazoa; Chordata; Actinopteri; Pleuronectiformes; Soleidae
Exons: 3
Source: RefSeq, a predicted model, not a curated record